This 750-nucleotide unclassified non-coding RNA is filed under the name Hevea brasiliensis (rubber tree). The record is from RNAcentral. Lineage: Eukaryota; Viridiplantae; Streptophyta; Magnoliopsida; Malpighiales; Euphorbiaceae.
CGCCUGGUCCGGGUCGCUCGCCAGCCCCAGCGGGUCGAAUGGGCCACCUGGGUGGAGCUUGUCCUCCAGAUCCAGGCCGUUGAUGAUCCGGUAGUACUCGGCGCCGCCGACGAGGACGACCUCGGCGGCGACGGCGACGAUGAGGUUGAUGGGGAUGCUGUUGCCGAAGUAGUUGAGGGUGUUGCCGUCCAGGAGGAGGGCGCCGGUCUUGAACCAGACGGCCUCGGGGCCGCAGUUUGCGCCAAACUUGUUGCAGGCCUCGGGGAUGAUGAACCCAGCGGCGCCGAGCAUCGCCCACCUGGCAUGGAUCAGCUCAUAGGCCUGGUACUUGGAGAAGUCCUCUGGCUUCUUGCUGAGGCCAAAAGGGUCGUAGCCGUAGUCUCCGGGGACCUCUCCGUUGAGGUAGUCCGGCACCUCUGAGCGGUCCAGGAGACCCUCCGGCAAGAAGAUCCUCCUGUCAGGGCCGUACCACUUGGCGAGCUCAUCGCCGAUGUCGGGGCUCGAGGAGGUGACGGCGGCGGGCUUGGGCUUCGGGGCGGGCUUCUUGCUGAAGAGGGAGACGAUCUUCUGCGCUCCGGUGGUCGGUGCCGCGGUGGCGUAGCGGGAGGAGCCGGCGAAGUUGAGCCGGGUGCCGAGCAUCUUGGACGGGGCGAGCGCCGCCAUCGCCUCAGGCCCACAAUUCAGAGGGAGGUGGGAGAUGCAGCAGAAGGGGUGGUGCUGUGUUCAGAAAGGGGGAGACUGUGGUGGGCG